AUGGGCCCCUCUCCGCACCACCACCACCUCCUCGCCCUCCUCGUCGCCGGCAUCGCCGCGGUGGUCCUCCCUUUGGGAGGCGCCGCCGAGGGCAUGAGCGAGACGGAGGCGCUGAUCCACCUGAAGAAGUCGUUCUCCAACUCCUCCUCGGUCUCGUCGUGGCUCCUCACCGACAACGGCGGCCAGUCCCCGUGCGCCCCGGGGUCGCACGAGUGGCACGGCGUGGUGUGCGGCCGCGGCAAGGUCACCGGGCUCCGCCUCAGCGGGCUCCAGCUCGGCGGCACCAUCGACGUCGACGCGCUCUCCAGCUUCCCCGACCUCCGCUCCGUCUCCUUCGCCGGCAACAACUUCACCGGCCCGCUCCCCAGCUUCCACCGCCUCACCGCGCUCAAGUCCAUGUUCCUCUCCGACAACAAGUUCAACGGUGCCAUCCCCGACGAGUUCUUCCCGAACCUUAACCAUCUCAAGAAGCUCUGGCUCGACGGCAACGAGCUCUCGGGCCACAUCCCGGCGUCCCUCGCCGAGGCCGAGGCGCUCAUCGAGCUCCACCUCGAGCGCAACAAGUUCACCGGGGAGCUCCCUCCCGCGCCGCCCCCGGCGCUCAAGGCGUUCGACGUUUCCGACAACGACCUCGACGGCGUCGUCCCGGAGGCGUUCCGGCGGUUCGACGUCAGCGGGUUCCGCGGGAACCAGUACCUCUGCUAUGUCCCGACCCCCGGCCAGACGUGCAAGCGCCCGGAGAUCACGCCCGAGUCGACCAACUGGCUCGGCGUGGUGCUGGCCAUGCUGCUCGCCUUGGCAAUCGUGAUCGUCGUCGUCUUCUGCGCGUGCGGCGGCCAGCCGGUCCGCGUCCACGGCUACGACCACGCCCACAAGGGCGACACGGAGGACACGCCGCCGGUGUACAUGGUGAAGCAGGGAUCAUCGACGGCGCAGAAGCGGAGCAUGUCGUGGCUCGGGAGGAGGACGGGAGGGUCGUCGGCAGGCGGCACAGGCGGGCGGCACCGCCGGGCGUCGUCCGCGGCGAAGGUGGACGGCAUGAGCACCGGGGGCGUCGCCGGUGACCUGGUCAUCGUGAACGACUGCAAGGGCGUGUUCGGUCUGACGGACCUGAUGAAGGCGGCGGCGCAGAUGAUCGGCAGCGGCGGGCUCGGGUCGGCGUACAAGGCGGUGAUGGCCAACGGCGUGGCGGUGGUGGUGAAGCGCGCGCGCGACAUGAACCGCGCCACCAGGGUCGCGUUCGAGGCCGAGAUGAAGCGCCUGGGCGGCAUCCGCCACGCCAACCUGCUGCCGCCGCUGGCGUACCACUACCGCAAGGACGAGAAGCUGCUGGUCUACGAGUACAUCCCCAAGGGCAGCCUCCUCUACGUGCUCCACGGCGACCGCGGCGUGGACUACGCGGCGCUGGACUGGCCGACGCGGCUCAAGGUGACGGCCGGCGUGGCGCGCGGCGCGGCGUUCCUCCACGCCGAGCUCGCCGGCGCCGGGCACGACGUGCCGCACGGCAACCUCAAGUCGUCCAACGUGCUCCUCGCGCCGGACUUCGAGCCGCUGCUGGUCGACUUCGGCUACUCCAGCCUCGUCAACUACACGGAGUCGCCGGCGUCCAUGUUCUCGCGCCGGGCACCCGAGUGCGUCGCCGGGCACCCGGCGUCCGCCAAGGCCGACGUGUACUGCCUCGGCAUCGUCCUCCUCGAGAUCCUCACCGGCAAGUUCCCGUCGCAGUACAACGCCAACGGCGGCACGGACCUGGUCAUGUGGGCGACCACGGCGCAGGCCGACGGCCACGAGCAGAACCUGUUCGACCAGGGCAUCGUGACGGCGUGCGAGUACGCGCUGCCGGACAUGAAGCGGCUGCUGCGGAUCGCGAUGGAGUGCGUGGAGGCGGACCUGGAGAGGCGGCCGGACAUGAAGCAGGCCGCGUCGAGUGUGGAGGAGACGGUGGCUGCGGCGCUGGCGACGGUGAGGCAGGAGGCACCCACGUGA
Molecule: ribosomal RNA, 1986 nt
Filed under: Triticum aestivum (bread wheat)
Lineage: Eukaryota; Viridiplantae; Streptophyta; Magnoliopsida; Poales; Poaceae
Description: partial small subunit ribosomal RNA
Source: RNAcentral